Molecule: long non-coding RNA, 1479 nt
Organism: Gallus gallus (chicken)
Lineage: Eukaryota; Metazoa; Chordata; Aves; Galliformes; Phasianidae
Source: Ensembl
UUUUGGAAAUGUGGAGUCUUGCCUGAAAUAAAGUAGGAAAGAGACACCCUGAAAAAACAGUGAAAUUUUGCACAGGGUAUGGCACUACUGCCCAACAGCACAUUUUCUGCUGCUUCUCCUGACUGGGGAGAUGUUUCUGGAGGUAAGGUGCCAGAUUUUAAGAAACAUGGAUUCAGCUUGUACCUCUGAAAGCCUUGGACUGGUCUUGUAAACUCUUUGAGACUCAACUUUUCCCCUGAGGUGUCCGAGCAGAACCAACGUGUGCGGCCUCUCCUGGCUCACCCCUGCCAUCCCUCCCCAGCGCACAGAGUUUGUUCUGGUGAGGAACUGGGAUUACAGAGAUUAAGGAGACAUCGUGUGGUGGAAGCAAAGCCUCAGUGCGUGAGGAGAUAAAGGAGCUUUGGACAUGAAGUGAGCACAGUGUGGACUGGACAAACCAGGGACACAGAAGGAGGCUUGCACGCCCUGAAUGCACACACCGUCAGUAACAAAGGCAGCAGCCUCCACAAUUGGAACAAGUUGUGCUGGCCUAUUCGAAGCCCCCAUCCCUUCUAUUGCCGUGUGUGUCUCUCUCUGUACCAUGGAAGGAUACAGUGCAACCGUUAUUCUCUGCAAAACUACUUGUCAACUGCCCAGCGGCUAUAUAAACACUGCGGGAAAACGCUGCGUGAAUCUUUAAAAUCAUCAUCAAGUGCCUUUAAGCCACUGGCUCCCAUCUCGGGUUGAGAUCUAAUACUCUGCAUUAAAAAAGAAACAGCUGAAACACCACCUCGUUUUUACAGUCAGGAAAUAUCUUGUGCUUAUUGCCAUUAUCAAAAAUGAUUUUAGCUUAAACUGUGAUGCUGCAGCAUAGGACACACAAAAAGGAAAGGAUUUACUGCCUAAUGCUAAGUCAUGCUCUAUUUUACUAUGUAAGGAGCUAAUACAGUAAUGUAAUAUAGACAGAAUAUACUCAAAUAAAAGUUCACAUGUUCCUGCCAACUCUAAGCAAUUUGGCUUUGUGACUCAGGCAGCAUAAUUGUGAAAUUGGCUCAGAACUCAUUACACUGUUUUAUUUUUAUCUGUUUGUGCUGUUGUAUGCAUGCUUCAGGUUCAUUCCAUUUGCCUUAAGACUCCAGUUGCAUACUGAAGAUUUUUUUGUAUGUAAGUUGAUGGGCUACAAGGCUACUUUUUACUGCUGAGAGCAGAGAUUCUCUCACAACUCUACAUUGGGGCUUUAAGUGGAAUGUUAAGUGCCCCCAAACACAGAAUCAAAUGAGAUACUGUAACCCCUGACAGACACAAUGGCUCUACCCCAUCUAGCCACCACCCAUGUACGCUGUUCACCCCCAGUCUGCAGAGGAUAUGGGAUGAAAGUGAUGUACAAAAUGCCUUACAUUUGUUUCCUGAGAUGACACUGUGUAUGGAUUCUACUCACUUUGUCUUCAAAGACAGAAGAAUGUGAAAUUCAGAAACAUUAAUUACAGUGAGGAGACAAGU